RNAcentral lists this unclassified non-coding RNA (351 nucleotides) under Hevea brasiliensis (rubber tree). Lineage: Eukaryota; Viridiplantae; Streptophyta; Magnoliopsida; Malpighiales; Euphorbiaceae. The record is from RNAcentral.
CAGAACCUCACGGCACUAACCUGGGCUUUUGAUUUUGUUGCCGUUCGCCAUGGUGACUUGGAGUUUUUCGAUUGGUCACAUAGCAGACCCAGUUUGCUAACCCAGCAUGAAUCUAGAAAAUUAUGCGUAUUUCCAGUAUCAAUCAACAGUGUUAAAGAGUGAUUGCCAUUGAUUCCUUGAAUUUGCAUGGUCCGUUCCCCUGCUGUUUCUUUGUCGAUGGCAUAUAGCGAGACUUUGAGAUCAGAUUCUUCUUCGAGUUCUCUUUCUUCCUUGUCCCCUUGUACGGAUUCUUCAACACCAUCAAGCCAGAACAGUUGUUUGCAUUGGUGGCCCUUGGUAUAAACUUCAUCG